AUCGCUUCUCAGCCUUUUGGCUAAGAUCAAGUGUAGUUUUGAUUUGCAAAUUCCUGAUGAUUAAUGAUGUUGAUCAUCCUUUUUUUCCGUGUUUAUUGACCAUUUGUAUAGCUGUUUUAGAGAAAUGUUUAUUCAGAAACUACACUCAUUUUAAAAUUAGGCUGUCUUUU
RNAcentral lists this small nuclear RNA (170 nucleotides) under Rhinolophus ferrumequinum (greater horseshoe bat). RNAcentral describes it as "U2 spliceosomal RNA (ENSRFEG00010015971.1)". It matches the Rfam family "U2 spliceosomal RNA". From Rfam's summary of the family: U2 is a small nuclear RNA (snRNA) component of the spliceosome (involved in pre-mRNA splicing). Complementary binding between U2 snRNA (in an area lying towards the 5' end but 3' to hairpin I) and the branchpoint sequence (BPS) of the intron results the bulging out of an unpaired adenosine, on the BPS, which initiates a nucleophilic attack at the intronic 5' splice site, thus starting the first of two transesterification reactions that mediate splicing. Lineage: Eukaryota; Metazoa; Chordata; Mammalia; Chiroptera; Rhinolophidae. The record is from Rfam by way of RNAcentral.